RNAcentral lists this ribosomal RNA (204 nucleotides) under uncultured bacterium. Its description in RNAcentral is "partial 16S ribosomal RNA". It matches the Rfam family "Bacterial small subunit ribosomal RNA", at positions 524 to 725 of the family's 1533-position model. The record is from RNAcentral.
GACAGAGGAUGCAAGCGUUAUCCGGAAUGAUUGGGCGUAAAGCGUCUGUAGGUGGCUUUUCAAGUCCGCCGUCAAAUCCCAGGGCUCAACCCUGGACAGGCGGUGGAAACUACCAAGCUGGAGUACGGUAGGGGCAGGAGGGAAUUCCGGGUGGAGCGGUGAAAUGCAUUGAGAUCGGAAAGAACAACCAACGGCGAAAGCACU